CUACGGGCGGCAGCAGUGAGGAAUAUUGCACAAUGGGGGGAACCCUGAUGCAGCAACGCCGCGUGGAGGAUGACGCAUUUCGGUGCGUAAACUCCUUUUAUCUGUCAAGAAAAUGACGGUAGCAUAUGAAUAAGCACCGGCUAACUCCGUGCCAGCAGCCGCGGUAAUACGGAGGGUGCAAGCGUUACUCGGAAUCACUGGGCGUAAAGGACGCGUAGGCGGGUUGGAAAGUCAGGUGUGAAAUCCUACAGCUUAACUGUAGAACUGCACUUGAAACUUCUAAUCUAGAGUAUGGGAGGGGAAGAUGGAAUUAGUGGUGUAGGGGUAAAAUCCGUAGAUAUCACUAGGAAUACCUAAAGCGAAGGCGAUCUCCUGGAACAUUACUGACGCUAAGGCGUGAAAGCGUGGGGAGCAAACAGGAUUAGAUACCCCUGUAGUC
RNAcentral lists this ribosomal RNA (439 nucleotides) under uncultured bacterium. RNAcentral's name for it is "partial 16S ribosomal RNA". It matches the Rfam family "Bacterial small subunit ribosomal RNA", at positions 339 to 795 of the family's 1533-position model. The record is from RNAcentral.